RNAcentral lists this ribosomal RNA (506 nucleotides) under uncultured bacterium. RNAcentral describes it as "partial 16S ribosomal RNA". It matches the Rfam family "Bacterial small subunit ribosomal RNA", at positions 28 to 523 of the family's 1533-position model. The record is from RNAcentral.
GAUGAACGCUAGCUACAGACUUAACACAUGCAAGUCGAGGGGUAACGAGAGGAAAGCUUGCUUUCCUUGUCGACGACCGGCGCACGGGCGAGUAACACGUAUCCAACCUGCCUCCAACUAAGGAGUAACCUUGCGAAAGUAAGACUAAUACCUUAUAAUUUCCUCAGAUGUCAUCUGACGAGGAAUAAAGAUUUAUCGGUUGUGGAUGGGGAUGCGUCUGAUUAGCUUGUUGGCGGGGUAACGGCCCACCAAGGCAACGAUCAGUAGGGGUUCUGAGAGGAAGGUCCCCCACAUUGGAACUGAGACACGGUCCAAACUCCUACGGGAGGCAGCAGUGAGGAAUAUUGGUCAAUGGGCGAAAGCCUGAACCAGCCAAGUAGCGUGCAGGAUGACGGCCCUAUGGGUUGUAAACUGCUUUUAUACAGGAAUAAAGUUAGCCACGUGUGGUUAUUUGUAGGUACUGUAUGAAUAAGGACCGGCUAAUUCCGUGCCAGCCGCCGCAGUAA